RNAcentral lists this ribosomal RNA (264 nucleotides) under uncultured bacterium. RNAcentral describes it as "partial 16S ribosomal RNA". It matches the Rfam family "Bacterial small subunit ribosomal RNA", at positions 90 to 353 of the family's 1533-position model. The record is from RNAcentral.
GGCGACCGGCGCACGGGUGAGUAACACGUAUCCAACCUACCCUUUACUCGGGGAUAGCCUUUCGAAAGAAAGAUUAAUACCCGAUAGCAUAAUGAUUCCGCAUGGUUUCAUUAUUAAAGGAUUCCGGUAAAGGAUGGGGAUGCGUUCCAUUAGGUUGUUGGUGGGGUAACGGCCCACCAAGCCUUCGAUGGAUAGGGGUUCUGAGAGGAAGGUCCCCCACAUUGGAACUGAGACACGGUCCAAACUCCUACGGGAGGCAGCAUG